CGAUUGGACCCUUCGCCGAGGCGACGUUAUCACGUCCACGCCACCCAUUUCUACAUUCGCCAAUCUCAAUAGCGGGAAGUUUCCGCCCUUUACGGGAAUUAAAGACAACGGAGGUUCGCGGAGACGGAGGAAGAGAGGCUCGGGGAGACGGUAAAGGAGACGGAGGCAGACACGAGGAGACAUUGAUCCCAGCCUUCAUCCCACGAGCCUACAACCCGGUUAUAAUGGUCACAUGACGUCCAUCUACAGCCGCCCAAAAUGCAUCACGCGUGGAUAUUAAUUGUGGUCGCUAUUUUACUGAUGGAGACAAAUUGUCAAGGUUCAGAUUGUGAUGUGGAACCCCAAGACAUCGUGGCUCCUCUGGGCGUCCCCGUCAAUGCUACGUGUCUCCUCCGUGUGCCCGCCGACCCCGUGUCUCUGCACUGGAAGUUGGGGAGCAAACAAAUUAAUUCGGAACUCUCGGUGUCCACGCGUCCUGGUACUUUGUCCGUGUCCCUGUCUGGACUGGCUUUGUCUCCUCCAAGCGGACACAAUCUGCUGUGCUUCAAGGAAGACAGAAUGUGCUACGGGACUGUGGUCUACGUGGGGGGUGAGUGUCUGUCUCUGUGUCCCAGUGUCUCUGUGUCCCAGUAUCUCUGUGUGAGUGUAUAUUAGUUUGAGAGUCUGGGUGUGUUUGUGUGUAUCUGACUUGGGAGUGAUCGGGUAGUGGUUAGCGCGCUGCGCUACAAACCCGGCGACCUGAGUUCGAUUCCCGCUCACGGCCAACACCGGUGACAAUUAUCUGAACCGCUCCUAGGUCUCCCCUA
Lethenteron reissneri (Far Eastern brook lamprey) is the source of this 806-nucleotide long non-coding RNA. RefSeq lists it as uncharacterized. NCBI's taxonomy places the organism in Eukaryota, Metazoa, Chordata, Hyperoartia, Petromyzontiformes, Petromyzontidae. The record is from RefSeq and is a predicted model, not a curated record.